Molecule: ribosomal RNA, 826 nt
Filed under: actinobacterium 01Q8U
Lineage: Bacteria; Bacillati; Actinomycetota; Actinomycetes
Description: bacterial SSU rRNA
Rfam family: Bacterial small subunit ribosomal RNA
Source: RNAcentral
CGAUGAAGCCCUUCGGGGUGGAUUAGUGGCGAACGGGUGAGUAACACGUGGGCAAUCUGCCCUUCACUCUGGGACAAGCCCUGGAAACGGGGUCUAAUACCGGAUACCACUCCUGCCUGCAUGGGCGGGGGUUGAAAGCUCCGGCGGUGAAGGAUGAGCCCGCGGCCUAUCAGCUUGUUGGUGGGGUAAUGGCCCACCAAGGCGACGACGGGUAGCCGGCCUGAGAGGGCGACCGGCCACACUGGGACUGAGACACGGCCCAGACUCCUACGGGAGGCAGCAGUGGGGAAUAUUGCACAAUGGGCGAAAGCCUGAUGCAGCGACGCCGCGUGAGGGAUGACGGCCUUCGGGUUGUAAACCUCUUUCAGCAGGGAAGAAGCGAAAGUGACGGUACCUGCAGAAGAAGCGCCGGCUAACUACGUGCCAGCAGCCGCGGUAAUACGUAGGGCGCAAGCGUUGUCCGGAAUUAUUGGGCGUAAAGAGCUCGUAGGCGGCUUGUCACGUCGGAUGUGAAAGCCCGAGGCUUAACCUCGGGUCUGCAUUCGAUACGGGCUAGCUAGAGUGUGGUAGGGGAGAUCGGAAUUCCUGGUGUAGCGGUGAAAUGCGCAGAUAUCAGGAGGAACACCGGUGGCGAAGGCGGAUCUCUGGGCCAUUACUGACGCUGAGGAGCGAAAGCGUGGGGAGCGAACAGGAUUAGAUACCCUGGUAGUCCACGCCGUAAACGUUGGGAACUAGGUGUUGGCGACAUUCCACGUCGUCGGUGCCGCAGCUAACGCAUUAAGUUCCCCGCCUGGGGAGUACGGCCGCAAGGCUAAAACUCAANUGA